AAAAUAAAAUGAAAAUAAAAGGAUUUCCUUUCCAUUAAUUCCAUGUUCUUAACUUGACAGAUUUGGUUAUUGACUUGGAAGGCAAAUAUCUGGCCAGACUGCAAGACUUAUGCUCGCAGCGUGGGACAGCUCUCGUAAAGGUGAUUCAAGGUAGCUUCUGGAAAAGAAGACAUCAGAUCUCCAAAACAGCUUUCUUUGUGCUAAUGUAGGAAGGGCGACUAAGAGUACAGACCCUUCUCUGUCCGUCGGCCUGUCCUGCCAACUCUGGUGUGAGUGUGAAGCUGUGGCAAGAGGGGUUUCCCAUUCCUACUGGACCUGGUGGACACCAGCUUUCCUAGGAAAUUGCUGAUGUUGCUGAGGAGGCAGCAGUAUCAAAGGCCUUGUUGAUGAAGGUACAACAAGCUGGGGAGGCUUUGGCAUUUCUGCACAAUGCUGCUCCCUGAUUGUCACUCCAGACUCAGAUUCGGAAAGAAGCAAAGCAAGCCAGAGGAAAACUGGAUGUCCAGUAUCCAAAACUCCGUAUCACAGCGGAUCUUCUCCUCUGAUCCAAAAAGCUUCACAGGCCAAAAGAGAAUUGAGAUGAAGAAGGCAAUAGAGAAUGCAGACCAAUACUUCCAAUUACCACCCCAACUUCUGUCUUGGCUCUUCACAUCCAGCCAGAGCAGUUUCUUUGCCUCCGCAACCUGCAGGCUGUCCUCGCGUGUGUACCUGUGGUGGACUGAGGGUAAUGCUUGUAACGCACACAGAUGCUGUAUUCACUAGCACUUUGAGAAAAGACAGCAAGAAGCUAACCCGCGCAGCAGUUUCUUAGGUUUCUGUCUAUCUAUCCAUCUCUCUGCGUAUAUAUUUCAUUACUUAUUUACUUAUUUAAAGAUCCUUUAAAUAGAAUAGAUACUUUAAGAAAGCUUACUUGUUCUUCUCCUUUACUUGUUUUUAACGUUUACUUUUCUAACCAAUCCUUAAUGUUACAACAUUGGAUUUAUUUAGUUCUCAGUUCUUAGAAGUUCUCAAAGCACAUCAGUGAUUUCUAUAGUUCUCAGUCUUUCCAUCUGCAUUGAGACCUUUUAUCUGGAUUUAGGUAUGAGGUGAAGAAGAACACUGAAACCAGCUGAAGCCGUAUCGGCCACAUGCUUCUGCUCGGAAGUAAUUCAGAGUGAUUCCAUGGUGUACUUUAGACAGAUUUCCUCUGGUCCUCUGGACUCAGCAUCCCCAAGGGAUCUUUCAAAGCUCUCUGAAGGACCUGUCAUUAUCUCUGACACUGCAGUCUCGAUUAGGAAGGGGUAAAUAUUCCUUGCCCUUGUGCAAAGGAACUACUCAGUCAGCUGUUUCUAACCCAAAUCUCUUUGUUGUCUUCUGUUGACAGACACCACCCGGCUAGCCAAGCUAACCCAUUGAAAAAGGAAGGAGUGGGACUACUUCCAAACCCUGCUGCCGCUUCUAAGCAGAACUGCGCUGUAGGUGGGGACACAGCAAGAGGACACGUCCAGGCCACGGUGGAACUGCAAGGCACCUGUCUGAGCCACAGAAGGAAGUCAGCGCUUCCCAGUUGAAGACUGUUGCUCGACCAGUGACACAGCAGCUGGAGCGCUUCUGGUUGCUGCUGAUGGGUUCCCGUGACUCAGCCAGGGAUAGGAGCUAUGAGAACGACUGAAGCGAUUUGAAGUUGCCCGAAAGAAAGAAGAGAGGAGAGAAGAAGACAAGCGGGGAGGGGAGGGAAUAAAAAGAAGGGAGGGGAGGGAAUAAAAAGAAGG
RNAcentral lists this long non-coding RNA (1751 nucleotides) under Anas platyrhynchos platyrhynchos (common mallard). RNAcentral's name for it is "lncRNA (ENSAPLG00000025791.1)". Lineage: Eukaryota; Metazoa; Chordata; Aves; Anseriformes; Anatidae. The record is from RNAcentral.